This 253-nucleotide ribosomal RNA is filed under the name uncultured bacterium. Its description in RNAcentral is "partial 16S ribosomal RNA". It matches the Rfam family "Bacterial small subunit ribosomal RNA", at positions 524 to 776 of the family's 1533-position model. The record is from RNAcentral.
UACGUAGGUGGCAAGCGUUGUCCGGAUUUACUGGGCGUAAAGAGCGCGCAGGCGGUCGUACAAGUCGCGUGUGAAAGCCCCCGGCUCAACUGGGGAGGGUCACGCGAUACUGUUCGACUCGAAGGCAGGAGAGGGAAGCGGAAUUCCCGGUGUAGUGGUGAAAUGCGUAGAUAUCGGGAGGAACACCUGUGGCGAAAGCGGCGCACUGGACCACAACUGACGCUGAGGCGCGAAAGCUAGGGGAGCAAACAGG